RNAcentral lists this ribosomal RNA (392 nucleotides) under uncultured bacterium. RNAcentral describes it as "partial 16S ribosomal RNA". It matches the Rfam family "Bacterial small subunit ribosomal RNA", at positions 523 to 918 of the family's 1533-position model. The record is from RNAcentral.
AUACGGAGGAUCCGAGCGUUAUCCGGAUUUAUUGGGUUUAAAGGGUGCGCAGGCGGCCAUUUAAGUCAGCGGUUAAAUCGUGGGGCUCAACCCCAUUCUGCCGUUGAUACUGGGUGGCUUGAUUGCGGUCGAGGUUGGCGGAAUUCGUUGUGUAGCGGUGACAUGCAUAGAUAUGACGAAGAACACCGAUUGCGUAGGCAGCUGACCAGAUCGCAAAUGACGCUCAUGCACGAAAGUGCGGGGAUCGAACAGGAUUAGAUACCCUGGUAGUCCGCACAGUAAACGAUGAAUACUUGUUUUCGGCGAUAUAAUGUCGGAGGCAAAGCGAAAGCGAUAAGUAUUCCCCCUGGGGAGUACGCCGGCAACGGUGAAACUCAAAUGAAUUGACGGGG